CCUACGGGUGGCUGCAGUCGAGAAUCUUCUGCAAUGGACGCAAGUCUGACAGGGCGACGCCGCGUGCAGGAUGAAGGCCUUCGGGUUGUAAACUGCUGUUGCACCUUACGAACCCCCGAGAGUGAACAGCUCUUCGGGAUGACCAGGGUGUGAGGAAGCACAGGCUAACUCCGUGCCAGCAGCCGCGGUAAUACGGAGUGUGCAAGCGUUACUCGGAAUCACUGGGCAUAAAGCGCGCGUAGGCGGGCUUUCAAGUCGGUUGUGAAAUCCCUCAGCUCAACUGAGGAACUGCAUCCGAUACUGUUUGUCUUGAGGACGAGAGGGGAGAGUGGAACUUCUGGUGGAGCGGUGAAAUGCGUAGAUAUCAGAAGGAACGCCGGUGGCGAAAGCGACUCUCUGGCUCGUAUCUGACGCUGAGGCGCGAAAGCUUGGGUAGCAAA
RNAcentral lists this ribosomal RNA (440 nucleotides) under uncultured bacterium. Its description in RNAcentral is "bacterial SSU rRNA". It matches the Rfam family "Bacterial small subunit ribosomal RNA", at positions 338 to 772 of the family's 1533-position model. The record is from RNAcentral.